GCCCGAUUAGCUCAGCUGGUUAGAGCGUCGUACUAAUAUCGGUUUCUUCUGAUAUCAAGUCCAUGCGAAGGUCAACAGUUCAAUCCUGUUAUUGGGCA
Molecule: non-coding RNA, 98 nt
Organism: Copromyces sp. CBS 386.78
Lineage: Eukaryota; Fungi; Ascomycota; Sordariomycetes; Sordariales; Sordariaceae
Source: the annotation of a GenBank genome assembly